This 497-nucleotide ribosomal RNA is filed under the name uncultured bacterium. Its description in RNAcentral is "bacterial SSU rRNA". It matches the Rfam family "Bacterial small subunit ribosomal RNA", at positions 15 to 507 of the family's 1533-position model. The record is from RNAcentral.
GAUCAUGGCUCAGAUUGAACGCUGGCGGCAUGCUUUACACAUGCAAGUCGAACGGUAACAGGUCUUCGGAUGCUGACGAGUGGCGGAACGGGUGAGUAAUGCAUCGGAACGUGCCCAUCGGUGGGGGAUAACGCAGCGAAAGCUGCGCUAAUACCGCAUACGAUCUAUGGAUGAAAGGCGGGGGACCGUAAGGCCUCGCGCGAUUGGAGCGGCCGAUGUCAGAUUAGGUAGUUGGUGGGGUAAAGGCUCACCAAGCCAACGAUCUGUAGCUGGUCUGAGAGGACGACCAGCCACACUGGAACUGAGACACGGUCCAGACUCCUACGGGAGGCAGCAGUGGGGAAUUUUGGACAAUGGGCGCAAGCCUGAUCCAGCAAUGCCGCGUGCAGGAAGAAGGCCUUCGGGUUGUAAACUGCUUUUGUACGGAACGAAACGGUCUGGGUUAAUACCCUGGGCUAAUGACGGUACCGUAAGAAUAAGCACCGGCUAACUACGUG